Molecule: ribosomal RNA, 466 nt
Filed under: uncultured bacterium
Lineage: Bacteria
Description: partial 16S ribosomal RNA
Rfam family: Bacterial small subunit ribosomal RNA
Source: RNAcentral
GACGAACGCUGGCGGCGCGCCUAACACAUGCAAGUCGAACGAGCGAGAGGGAGCUUGCUUUCUCGAGCGAGUGGCGAACGGGUGAGUAACGCGUGAGGAACCUGCCUCAAAGAGGGGGACAACAGUUGGAAACGACUGCUAAUACCGCAUAAGCCCACGGUGCCGCAUGGCACAGAGGGGAAAGGAGCAAUCCGCUUUGAGAUGGCCUCGCGUCCGAUUAGCUAGUUGGUGAGGUAAUGGCCCACUAAGGCGACGAUCGGUAGCCGGACUGAGAGGUUGAACGGCCACAUUGGGACUGAGACACGGCCCAGACUCCUACGGGAGGCAGCAGUGGGGAAUAUUGCACAAUGGGGGAAACCCUGAUGCAGCGACGCCGCGUGGAGGAAGAAGGUCUUCGGAUUGUAAACUCCUGUUGUUGGGGAAGAUAAUGACGGUACCCAACAAGGAAGUGACGGCUAACUACGUG